RNAcentral lists this ribosomal RNA (643 nucleotides) under uncultured bacterium. Its description in RNAcentral is "bacterial SSU rRNA". It matches the Rfam family "Bacterial small subunit ribosomal RNA", at positions 1 to 650 of the family's 1533-position model. The record is from RNAcentral.
GCGAGAGUUUGAUCCUGGCUCAGAUUGAACGCUGGCGGCAUGCCUUACACAUGCAAGUCGAACGGUAACAGGUUAAGCUGACGAGUGGCGAACGGGUGAGUAAUAUAUCGGAACGUGCCCAGUAGUGGGGGAUAGCCCGGCGAAAGCCGGAUUAAUACCGCAUACGACCUACGGGUGAAAGCGGGGGAUCGCAAGACCUCGCGCUAUUGGAGCGGCCGAUAUCAGAUUAGCUAGUUGGUGGGGUAAAAGCCCACCAAGGCGACGAUCUGUAGCUGGUCUGAGAGGACGACCAGCCACACUGGGACUGAGACACGGCCCAGACUCCUACGGGAGGCAGCAGUGGGGAAUUUUGGACAAUGGGCGCAAGCCUGAUCCAGCCAUGCCGCGUGCGGGAAGAAGGCCUUCGGGUUGUAAACCGCUUUUGUCAGGGAAGAAAAGCUCCGGGUUAAUACCUCGGUGUCAUGACGGUACCUGAAGAAUAAGCACCGGCUAACUACGUGCCAGCAGCCGCGGUAAUACGUAGGGUGCAAGCGUUAAUCGGAAUUACUGGGCGUAAAGCGUGCGCAGGCGGUUCGUUGUGUCGGUGGUGAAAUCCCCGGGCUCAACCUGGGAAUGGCCAUGGAAACUGGCGAACUGGAGUGUG